RNAcentral lists this ribosomal RNA (497 nucleotides) under uncultured bacterium. RNAcentral's name for it is "partial 16S ribosomal RNA". It matches the Rfam family "Bacterial small subunit ribosomal RNA", at positions 28 to 507 of the family's 1533-position model. The record is from RNAcentral.
GAUGAACGCUGGCGGCGUGCCUAAUACAUGCAAGUCGAGCGAACAGAUGAGGAGCUUGCUCCUCUGACGUUAGCGGCGAACGGGUGAGUAACACGUGGAUAACCUACCUAUAAGACUGGGAUAACUUCGGGAAACCGGAGCUAAUACCGGAUAAUAUAUUGAACCGCAUGGUUCAAUAGUGAAAGACGGAGUUGCUGUCAAUUAUAGAUGGAUCCGCGCCGCAUGAGCUAGUUGGUAAGGUAACGGCUUACCAAGGCAACGAUGGGUAGCGGACCUGAGAGGGUGAUCGGCCACACUGGAACUGAGACACGGUCCAGACUCCUACGGGAGGCAGCAGUAGGGAAUCUUCCGCAAUGGGCGAAAGCCUGACGGAGCAACGCCGCGUGAGUGAUGAAGGUCUUCGGAUCGUAAAACUCUGUUGUUAGGGAAGAACAAAUGUGUAAGUAACUAUGCACGUCUUGACGGUACCUUAUCAGAAAGCCACGGCUAACUACGUG